Molecule: long non-coding RNA, 251 nt
Filed under: Gossypium barbadense (sea-island cotton)
Lineage: Eukaryota; Viridiplantae; Streptophyta; Magnoliopsida; Malvales; Malvaceae
Description: long non-coding RNA (GBAR_LNC006920)
Source: RNAcentral
CUAGCAUUGAUAUAGCUGGCUCCCACAUACUUGCCUUGGAAAGUCAUCUUAAACAAAUCCCACGUCAGACUGUCAGGCUGCGUGCCAUCCCUAACCGUCAGCCACCACUGAUAUGCUUCAUCGCGAAGCAAUGAAAUAUCCCCCUUGAGCUUUUGCUCGGCGAUGAACUCAAGAUCAUCCAUAAUACGCUCUGUGGCCUCCAUCCAGUACUCAACCACUUUAGGAGCAACUCCAGCGAUGCCCCUAAAUAC